This 227-nucleotide long non-coding RNA is filed under the name Bos taurus (domestic cattle). RNAcentral's name for it is "long non-coding RNA NONBTAT020182". Lineage: Eukaryota; Metazoa; Chordata; Mammalia; Artiodactyla; Bovidae. The record is from RNAcentral.
GUGAACUCCAGGCUGGCAGAUUUGGCAAUGGCAAAUUUUGCCCUUGGACUGGUAGAUUUAGUCUGAGGCCUUGGGCUGCUCAAUCGGAUCUGGUUUUCCCAAGCUGAUAUUUCCAAAAACUUUCAGCCUUUCUUGUUGAAUGGAUUGAAGCAGAGAGGACUCAAUGGCAGCUAUUGAGAAAAUUUCAUUUCAUCAGUUACUGCAAAUUCAAGGGAUAAGGGAGCUCA